AGAUGCGACCGGCGCACGGUGAGUAACACGUAUCCAACCUGCCGAUAACUCGGGGAUAGCCUUUCGAAAGAAAGAUUAAUACCCGAUGGUAUAAUCAGACCGCAUGGUUUGAUUAUUAAAGAAUUUCGGUUAUCGAUGGGGAUGCGUUCCAUUAGGCAGUCGGUGAGGUAACGGCUCACCAAACCUUCGAUGGAUAGGGGUUCUGAGAGGAAGGUCCCCCACAUUGGAACUGAGACACGGUCCAA
Molecule: ribosomal RNA, 245 nt
Filed under: uncultured bacterium
Lineage: Bacteria
Description: partial 16S ribosomal RNA
Rfam family: Bacterial small subunit ribosomal RNA
Source: RNAcentral